Molecule: long non-coding RNA, 501 nt
Organism: Biomphalaria glabrata
Lineage: Eukaryota; Metazoa; Mollusca; Gastropoda; Planorbidae
Exons: 2
Source: RefSeq, a predicted model, not a curated record
AUUUGAAUUGUAACUAUAGAAUCAGUAUAGAUCUACUUCUAGAAUAUAUAUCUAGGUUAUAAAUAUAGUAGAAACAGAAUCUAAAAUAAUCAGAAUUUACUCUAGACUGUAACUCUAAGCAGAGUACCAAGGGACUAGAAAGAGCUAAUGUCAUCCCCCUAUUUAAAAAAGGAGAAAAAUCUGACCCAGGAAACUAUUGUUGUUACCCUGCCUUGCACCAGUGCUUGAGAUCGCACUAGCGCACUGUUGAACGUAAACAGGAAGAGCUAGAAUGGAGAGAAGAACAGUGCAUCAGGAACUGUGAAGAGUCUAAGAGGCCAACUUUUGUUCUGCCUGAAGGUUGUAGUAGGGACCUGGAGCGAAGCAGGGAAGGCUGUCAUUGGUCCACAUUCGGGUUAAGUAGCAAAGGACUGGUAUACUUAGUAGUAAGACUCUGAGGAAGCUGAAGGAUGUUAUGUGUUUACCCUAGUGAAUAAACACAACUAUUUAUUUCCUGUUAAA